RNAcentral lists this ribosomal RNA (468 nucleotides) under uncultured bacterium. RNAcentral's name for it is "partial 16S ribosomal RNA". It matches the Rfam family "Bacterial small subunit ribosomal RNA", at positions 28 to 507 of the family's 1533-position model. The record is from RNAcentral.
GACGAACGCUGGCGGCGUGCUUAACACAUGCAAGUCGAACGGAAAGGCCCUGCUUUUGUGGGGUGCUCGAGUGGCGAACGGGUGAGUAACACGUGAGUAACCUGCCCUUGACCUUGGGAUAACUUCAGGAAACUGGGGCUAAUACCGGAUAGGAGCUCCUGCUGCAUGGUGGGGGUUGGAAAGUUUCGGCGGUUGGGGAUGGGCUCGCGGCUUAUCAGCUUGUUGGUGGGGUAGUGGCUUACCAAGGCUUUGACGGGUAGCCGGCCUGAGAGGGUGACCGGCCACAUUGGGACUGAGAUACGGCCCAGACUCCUACGGGAGGCAGCAGUGGGGAAUAUUGCACAAUGGGCGGAAGCCUGAUGCAGCAACGCCGCGUGCGGGAUGACGGCCUUCGGGUUGUAAACCGCUUUCGCCUGUGACGAAGCGUGAGUGACGGUAAUGGGUAAAGAAGCACCGGCUAACUACGUG